RNAcentral lists this ribosomal RNA (2905 nucleotides) under Salmonella enterica subsp. enterica. RNAcentral's name for it is "bacterial LSU rRNA". It matches the Rfam family "Bacterial large subunit ribosomal RNA". Lineage: Bacteria; Pseudomonadati; Pseudomonadota; Gammaproteobacteria; Enterobacterales; Enterobacteriaceae. RNAcentral also lists the same sequence under 1 other name. The record is from RNAcentral.
UUAAGCGACUAAGCGUACACGGUGGAUGCCCUGGCAGUCAGAGGCGAUGAAGGGCGUGCUAAUCUGCGAUAAGCGCCGGUAAGGUGAUAUGAACCGUUAUAACCGGCGAUACCCGAAUGGGGAAACCCAGUGUGAUUCGUCACACUAUCAUUAACUGAAUCCAUAGGUUAAUGAGGCGAACCGGGGGAACUGAAACAUCUAAGUACCCCGAGGAAAAGAAAUCAACCGAGAUUCCCCCAGUAGCGGCGAGCGAACGGGGAGGAGCCCAGAGCCUGAAUCAGCAUGUGUGUUAGUGGAAGCGUCUGGAAAGGCGCGCGAUACAGGGUGACAGCCCCGUACACAAAAGCGCAUGUGCUGUGAGCUCGAUGAGUAGGGCGGGACACGUGGUAUCCUGUCUGAAUAUGGGGGGACCAUCCUCCAAGGCUAAAUACUCCUGACUGACCGAUAGUGAACCAGUACCGUGAGGGAAAGGCGAAAAGAACCCCGGCGAGGGGAGUGAAAAAGAACCUGAAACCGUGUACGUACAAGCAGUGGGAGCACAGGUUUACCUGUGUGACUGCGUACCUUUUGUAUAAUGGGUCAGCGACUUAUAUUCUGUAGCAAGGUUAACCGUAUAGGGGAGCCGGAGGGAAACCGAGUCUUAAUUGGGCGUUAAGUUGCAGGGUAUAGACCCGAAACCCGGUGAUCUAGCCAUGGGCAGGUUGAAGGUUGGGUAACACUAACUGGAGGACCGAACCGACUAAUGUUGAAAAAUUAGCGGAUGACCUGUGGCUGGGGGUGAAAGGCCAAUCAAACCGGGAGAUAGCUGGUUCUCCCCGAAAGCUAUUUAGGUAGCGCCUCGUGAAUUCAUCUCCGGGGGUAGAGCACUGUUUCGGCUAGGGGGCCAUCCCGGCUUACCAACCCGAUGCAAACUGCGAAUACCGGAGAAUGUUAUCACGGGAGACACACGGCGGGUGCUAACGUCCGUCGUGAAGAGGGAAACAACCCAGACCGCCAGCUAAGGUCCCAAAGUCAUGGUUAAGUGGGAAACGAUGUGGGAAGGCCCAGACAGCCAGGAUGUUGGCUUAGAAGCAGCCAUCAUUUAAAGAAAGCGUAAUAGCUCACUGGUCGAGUCGGCCUGCGCGGAAGAUGUAACGGGGCUAAACCAUGCACCGAAGCUGCGGCAGCGACACUGUGUGUUGUUGGGUAGGGGAGCGUUCUGUAAGCCUGUGAAGGUGUGUCGUGAGGCAUGCUGGAGGUAUCAGAAGUGCGAAUGCUGACAUAAGUAACGAUAAAGCGGGUGAAAAGCCCGCUCGCCGGAAGACCAAGGGUUCCUGUCCAACGUUAAUCGGGGCAGGGUGAGUCGACCCCUAAGGCGAGGCCGAAAGGCGUAGUCGAUGGGAAACGGGUUAAUAUUCCCGUACUUGGUGUUACUGCGAAGGGGGGACGGAGAAGGCUAUGUUGGCCGGGCGACGGUUGUCCCGGUUUAAGCGUGUAGGUGUGUGUUCCAGGUAAAUCCGGUUCACUUUAACACUGAGGCGUGACGACGAGGCACUACGGUGCUGAAGCAACAAAUGCCCUGCUUCCAGGAAAAGCCUCUAAGCAUCAGGUAACAUCAAAUCGUACCCCAAACCGACACAGGUGGUCAGGUAGAGAAUACCAAGGCGCUUGAGAGAACUCGGGUGAAGGAACUAGGCAAAAUGGUGCCGUAACUUCGGGAGAAGGCACGCUGACACGUAGGUGAAGUGAUUUACUCAUGGAGCUGAAGUCAGUCGAAGAUACCAGCUGGCUGCAACUGUUUAUUAAAAACACAGCACUGUGCAAACACGAAAGUGGACGUAUACGGUGUGACGCCUGCCCGGUGCCGGAAGGUUAAUUGAUGGGGUCAGCGCAAGCGAAGCUCCUGAUCGAAGCCCCGGUAAACGGCGGCCGUAACUAUAACGGUCCUAAGGUAGCGAAAUUCCUUGUCGGGUAAGUUCCGACCUGCACGAAUGGCGUAAUGAUGGCCAGGCUGUCUCCACCCGAGACUCAGUGAAAUUGAACUCGCUGUGAAGAUGCAGUGUACCCGCGGCAAGACGGAAAGACCCCGUGAACCUUUACUAUAGCUUGACACUGAACAUUGAGCCUUGAUGUGUAGGAUAGGUGGGAGGCUUUGAAGCGUGGACGCCAGUCUGCGUGGAGCCGACCUUGAAAUACCACCCUUUAAUGUUUGAUGUUCUAACGUGGACCCGUGAUCCGGGUUGCGGACAGUGUCUGGUGGGUAGUUUGACUGGGGCGGUCUCCUCCUAAAGAGUAACGGAGGAGCACGAAGGUUGGCUAAUCCUGGUCGGACAUCAGGAGGUUAGUGCAAUGGCAUAAGCCAGCUUGACUGCGAGCGUGACGGCGCGAGCAGGUGCGAAAGCAGGUCAUAGUGAUCCGGUGGUUCUGAAUGGAAGGGCCAUCGCUCAACGGAUAAAAGGUACUCCGGGGAUAACAGGCUGAUACCGCCCAAGAGUUCAUAUCGACGGCGGUGUUUGGCACCUCGAUGUCGGCUCAUCACAUCCUGGGGCUGAAGUAGGUCCCAAGGGUAUGGCUGUUCGCCAUUUAAAGUGGUACGCGAGCUGGGUUUAGAACGUCGUGAGACAGUUCGGUCCCUAUCUGCCGUGGGCGCUGGAGAACUGAGGGGGGCUGCUCCUAGUACGAGAGGACCGGAGUGGACGCAUCACUGGUGUUCGGGUUGUCAUGCCAAUGGCACUGCCCGGUAGCUACAUGCGGAAGAGAUAAGUGCUGAAAGCAUCUAAGCACGAAACUUGCCCCGAGAUGAGUUCUCCCUGAGACUUAGAGUCUCCUGAAGGAACGUUGAAGACGACGACGUUGAUAGGCCGGGUGUGUAAGCGCAGCGAUGCGUUGAGCUAACCGGUACUAAUGAACCGUGAGGCUUAACCUU